Molecule: long non-coding RNA, 112 nt
Organism: Sapajus apella (tufted capuchin)
Lineage: Eukaryota; Metazoa; Chordata; Mammalia; Primates; Cebidae
Exons: 3
Source: RefSeq, a predicted model, not a curated record
UAUUGUUUCCAAGAGACCCCCAUGGAUACCAGAAUCUGUGGAUGUUCAAGUCUCUAAUACAAAAGGGGAGAGUAUCUGCAUAUAACCUAUGCACAUCCUCCUCCAGACUCUA